This 445-nucleotide ribosomal RNA is filed under the name uncultured bacterium. Its description in RNAcentral is "bacterial SSU rRNA". It matches the Rfam family "Bacterial small subunit ribosomal RNA", at positions 331 to 792 of the family's 1533-position model. The record is from RNAcentral.
CCAGACUCCUACGGGAGGCAGCAGUGGGGAAUAUUGCACAAUGGGGGAAACCCUGAUGCAGCAACGCCGCGUGAGUGAGGAAGUAUUUCGGUAUGUAAAGCUCUAUCAGCAGGGAAUAGAAAAGAAGGUACCUGAAAAAGAAGCCCCGGCUAACUACGUGCCAGCAGCCGCGGUAAUACGUAGGGGGCAAGCGUUAUCCGGAUUUACUGGGUGUAAAGGGAGCGUAGACGGAAAGGCAAGUCAGAAGUGAAAGCCCAAGGCUCAACCAUGGGACUGCUUUUGGAACUGUAAGGCUAGAGUGUCGGAGAGGCAGGCGGAAUUCCUAGUGUAGCGGUGAAAUGCGUAGAUAUUAGGAGGAACACCAGUGGCGAAGGCGGCCUGCUGGACGAUGACUGACGUUGAGGCUCGAAAGCGUGGGGAGCAAACAGGAUUAGAUACCCCAGUA